UGACCAGGAAAGCUAGUGCCAUCCCCUGGGG
RNAcentral lists this non-coding RNA (31 nucleotides) under Homo sapiens (human). Lineage: Eukaryota; Metazoa; Chordata; Mammalia; Primates; Hominidae. The record is from RNAcentral.